This 3972-nucleotide long non-coding RNA is filed under the name Homo sapiens (human). Its description in RNAcentral is "non-protein coding lnc-NDUFAF5-4:1". Lineage: Eukaryota; Metazoa; Chordata; Mammalia; Primates; Hominidae. The record is from RNAcentral.
GAUUUUUGUUAAGAGGCAGUAUAUGGUAUGGUGGUUAAGAAUGUGGUCUAUACCUAUGGUGUCAAACUACCUGCAUUCAAAUAUCACCCAAGCCACUUAUUAUCUGCAAGAGCUUGGACAAGUCAUAUAGCCAUUUUAUACCUGUGUUUCCUUAUCUGUGAAAUGACAAUAAUAAUAGCAUUCAGUUUUGAUGAUCAAAUGUGCUAGUUUCCCAGAUGUGAAACAUUAGAAGAAUACCUGGUGUAUAGUAAAAAAUAAAUGUCAGCAAUGAUUAUUUCUUACACAAGCCUGGUGAAAAUUCAAGUUUACUGGUUAUUAAAUUGCAUUGGUUCUGUUUGGGGUCUUCCUCAUUAUGUUCAGAGAUCAGCAAUGCCCUGAGGUUUUUUUUUUUUUUUUUUUUGGCGGGGGGUCAUAUUUGCCUGAUUAUAUCUCAUCGUCAAGUAGAAACACUAAAAUACAUAAUUCAAAACAAAGAUUUGAUCUUCAAAAGGGAAAGACAAAGCACCAUCUCAAAUUUGCUGUACCGAAGGGCCUGGCUCAGUGCCUGACACAUGGUAGGUGCUCUGCAGACCUGGGUCCACCCAUGGAUUAUCUCUGCCCAGGAUUCUGACCCAUAAAAGGAAGGGCAUUCUUUCCACAUUCUUGGUAAAUCUGUGUAGGAUUCUUAUCUUAAAUGUAGUCUUUAACCUUAGGAGACUCAGAAACUUUGAAACUAUAGUAUUAUGACUGAAAUAUUAAGCUUUUUAAAAACACAUACUUUAGUUCAUUUAGCUGUCUAAUAUUUUCUCUGUUCUUAAAUUUGCAACCUUUUAAAAUGUAUGGUUUUAAAUUACAUAGUGGAUUAUUCAGGUACUCAUCUAACAUUUAAAAUGUAAACAGUGCAAAUUUUUCUUAAAGGCAAGAAGCAGGGGAUUAUCAUAUGUGAAAGGGAGUAGAAAUAUGAUCUUUUUAUUCUUGCUUGCCUAGAUUUUGCAGUUUUAAUCAAAUUGGCAUUUAAAAAUACUGGGCUCUAUCUGUUAAGAACUGUCUGUUGUUUAUAGAGAUUUUUAGGUGUAAAUUAUCUAGCCAGAUGUUUAAGCACCAAAGGGAAACAAGUUAAAUACAAUUAACCCAGUCUUCAUUUAUCAAGUAGUUAAUUCUCAGCGGUAGGCCACAAAAUCAGUCUUUUGAUCCCAAUAAUAUAUAUAGGUAUAACUAUUUAGAUAACAUAAAAUGAAAGUUACAAAGCCUUAUUUUGAAACUCUUUAAGCUUGGCCAAAUUAGGGAACAUUUUAUUCAAUAUAGGUGGCUUCCCAAAUUUUGGUUACUGAUUGCCUUUGUCAUUGCCUUUAGGACAACUGUAGACUUUGUGGAUAUUGGAACAGAUAUAAUAAUUGUACUGUAAUUUCCCACCAGGUAAAUCACAUAAUUAUUAUGGGAGUAUGAAAAUAUCUGAGAACAGGGACAGGGUGGGGGUGUGUGGGAUACAUACACAUAUGCAUGCAGUAUAAAAAUAAGAUUGCAAAAUGUUGCAUCAUUUCAGUUGCUCAACUGCAGCUCAACUCAACUCUUGCAUAGUCCCCUAUAACAUUGUGUUAGUGUGGAAUUUAGGUACAUUUUAAUAUGUUUCAUAUGCUAUGAGGUCGGACCUCCCUAAAACAAUAGUCUUAGGAUCUAUAAAGUUCUUAAAACUCAUCUGAUUAUGGUGAGUUUUUAAACAUUUUGCAUAAUUUUUUAAAUUCUAAAAGUAUUAUGAAAUGACAGAAGGUUUGGGUUUGGGAAACAAAGGGAGGAAAAAAAUCAGCUACUACUUAACAAAAAUCAUUUGUACCUUGCUCUAUAUCUAAAUCUAUAUCUACAUCCCAUUGUACUUUCAGGCUUGUACUUUAUUUCUUCUAUGCACCUACAGUGAAGUUUUAAAUAUUCUGGGCUCUGUGUAUAAAGGUUCUGAGUUCUUCAGUAUUCCUGAGAAGGAGCUUAAAAAUACUGUGAUUUUUAUAAGUCGCAUUAGAGACCUAGGAAAUCAUUCCAAAACAUUAAUUUUGAGCCAAAUUUCUAAUAGGGUAUUAAAAACAGGGGUAUAGUGGAAAUUGUAUUAAAUAAGAAUCAGGAGUUUAUGUUCAAGUCGCACUUCUGACAACAUGAGUUCUAUCAGUUGAAGUAUGUUUGCGAUACAUGAAUGUAUAUGAGAAAUACACAUAUACAGUCAAGAGAAUAAGCAAUGAUUCAUACGCAUUCCCCAGAACCAUGCUUUAUGCUUAAACAAGAUUUAUGGACUUGUUUUCUUGGGCUUGCAUUUCCCUGUGAGAGAGUAUUUUACGGUGGGCUGGAAGGUGUUUCUGUUUCUCUUGGUUAACAUAUAUGGGGAGCAACAGAAGGUAACAGGAAUGAUUGAGAGGGAGACAAAGAGACCUUGGGAAGGGUGGAUGAGAGCAGUGGGGAGGAAGAAAGAAGGGUAAGGAUCCAAUUAUUUACUUGACAUCUAUUUGCAACUCUAUUAAGUAUGGAGAUAAAAAGAGAGAUGGGUAUUAAGGGGACAAAACACAGUGGAGAUUUUAGCUACCCCCAGUGUUUUCCUCUGGCUCACUGACUUCCAGUUAUCCUCUUUCUUUGCUUAUUGUUACAUGUUUUUGGAUAUCAAAGAGAGUAUCCUAAAAUAACUUUGAUACAGUUAAUGAUCUUAGUGGAAUGAUAGGAGUUUUAAAAAAGAACAAAGAGCAUUCCAUUUGUAUUAUAGAACAAUUAAAUAAAAAUCCACUUACAGCCAUAAGUUGCAAAUUUUUAAACAUAUAUCAUUUACUUAUCUAGCUCAUUUUUACCUCAUCUGCCUAUGUAAACCCAUCGUUAUUCUAAGUCUCCCUUAAUAAACUAAGAUUUCCUUCUUACUCUAAUAUUUGAGAUCUAAGUACAAUCCAAAUGUCAGAGGUUAUUGUUGUUGUUAUUAUUUCCACCAUGGAGACCUCCGAUUUUCUAAUAAAAUAUUUUUAUAAAUUUUACUCAACACAAAUUAGUUUACUUUUCAUGCUGUCUCCAAAAGUGAGGAAGUAGAGUAGUUAAGAGUCAUAAAUUCGGAGCCUGAGUUUUGGGGUUUGAUGUAACUCCACACCUAACUAACUGUGUGACCUUGAGCAAAUUACUUCAACCUUCUGCCCUUUCAUUUCUUGGUCUAUAAAAUGAUGACAAUUAUAGUAAUUUUCUCAUAAUGCUGUUAUGAGGCUUAAAUUAGUUAACUUGGGGUAAGUGCUUAAAACAGUACUUAGAACACAUAGCUCUUCAUAUUUCAGUGGUUCUCCACGUUGGUGACACAUUAGAAUCACCUGGGGAGUUGGUGCUCACCUCACCCAUUAAAUCAGAAUCUUUGGGGGUGGGGCCCAGUACUGGGAGCAAUUGAAAUUGGGAGCAAUUAUUGAAAUUGCUGAGGUGAUUCCAGUGAGCAGCCAGCGUUGGGAACGAUGGCCGUAAAUGGCUGUAAUUAUCCUGCUGACUAAAUUAUAAACUUCCUGAGGGCAGGGAGUCCAUUACUUCUUUUUAUACAUCCUUCCUAGUGCAGCUAGCACAGUGCCUUACUUGUAACUAAUGCUCAUUAAAUACUAUCAAUGAAAGAAAACAUGUUGAUGAUAUUUUAGAUGUGUAAAGACCUUGCAGGACCACAGAGGUGCUAAUUUUAAGCAUUAAUUAUUCAUUCCCUCAUUUAUUCAUUUAUAUGUGCUACACACUUUGGAGUCUUGAUGCUAAACACUGCAGGCAUAUAUGAUUUGAAAAUGCAAUCCCUGUUCCAAAGAGUUUAUAAUUUAGUAUGAAUAAAUGCAUACAUGACUUUAAUAGAAGGGAAACUAACCAUGUAUAAGUGCUGUGUUACAAUUUAGGUUCCCUUGGAGGCUGUCUCUAAGAUGGAGCAUGCAGAGCGUUUGUUUGGAAGUGCUCUUGAGAAUAACACCUCUGCGUGUGCUGGGGAAAGGGAAAGCUAUGGAACCAUUGAAAUAUGAAAUAAUU